CUACGAGCUUUUUGAGGGAAAAGAAACGCCAGAACUUCUUUUCUUCAUUAUUCGCACUAUGUUAUGCUUCUACAAUAUUGAAAGAUUACACAAUACAGGGUUUAAGUAAUAUUCGAGACGAUCUUAGGUUAAAACUGAAAGGAAUACCGGAAUGUAAAACAAAAUGCAGUGAUAAAGCAGCUUUCGGGGCAAAAUGGAAAAGUUGGUGCUGUGGCUGUUUAAUGUGGAAGAAAUGUUUGGAACAACAUAUGGAUAAAUUGAACUUGAAUCAUGCAAGAUCUUGGGAGCGGAAUCCGAAAAAUGAAGAUAUUGCUUAUUUAUCCAUACCAAGGACUUGGUCGAAUUCUAGCAAACCAGAUAUCAGCGACAUAUCAUUUUGUACAACUAUUUGGUCGAACUGUGAUGUUUAUAAGAUAGACAGCCGUGUAAUAAAAGAACUAAAACGUGUAAGAAAUCAAUAUAUUGGACACAAUUCUAUUUGUGAACUUUCAAGUGAACAAAAACUAGAUUUUUAUUCUAUUAUUGCUGACGUGUUUCGCGACAGUGAUGUGUCCUUACACAUAGAAAAAAACAACUGUUUAAAGGCACUUGAAGAUUUUAAAAUAAACAACCAGUUUUACAGCAUCAUGCCGUUUGAUCUCAGCAAACAGAUGAACAAUAUGCAAGUCAUUAUAUUUUUCGGGGUAGUUCUGGUGUUGGGUUACACAAUGAGUGUUAUGUCGAUAGCUUGAAAAUAGACCACUUAGACAUUCCAACAUUAUUUCUUGAAUAUGCUUACUAUCCAAGGGGUUUUGUGGUUGGUAAAUUAUUGGAGCUACAUCGAUGAACAAUACUUCCUUCAGCCGUUUGAAUGUUGUUUCUGCCCGAUUCAGUAUGUACGCUGAAGUUUAUUUUGUUGAAAAACAUCUGUCAGCUGUGGUUUCAAUUGUAGAUGUUCAUCUGGACACAGGUUGAAUUUGUUGAUAUACUGUCAUAUUGUUGAUAUACCUUUGUACGAUGUGGUUUAACUUGUUGAUAAACCUUUGCACGAUGUGGUUUAACUUGUUGAUAAACCUUUGUACGAUGAGGUUUAAUUUGUUGAUAUACCUUUGUACGAUGAGGUUUAAUUUGUUGAUAUACCUUUGUACGAUGUGGUUUAACUUGUUGAUAAACCUUUGUACGAUGAGGUUUAACUUGUUGAUAUACCUUUGUACGAUGAGGUUUAACUUGUUGAUAAACCUUUGUACGAUGUGGUUUAACUUGUUGAUAUACCUUUGUACGAUGUGGUUUAACUUGUUGAUAAACCUUUGUACGAUGAGGUUUAACUUGUUUAUAAACCUUACUACGCUGGGGUUUCAAUUGUUAAUAUACAUCUGUAUGCUGAUGUUGAAAUUGUUGAUAAACUGACAUAUUGUUGAUUUUGUUAAUAUACCUUUGUACGAUGAGGUUUAACUUCUUGAUAAACCUUUAUACGUUAGGUAUAAAUUGUUGAUGUACAUUUUUACCCUGAGGUUAAAAUGGUUGAGGUACAUCUGUAUGCCGAGGUUGAAAUCGUAGAUAAACUGGCAAAUUGUUGAUUUUGUUAAUAUACCUUUGUACGAUGAGGUUUAACUUCUUGAUAAACCUUUUACGUUAGGUAUAAAUUGUUGAUGUACAUUUUAACCCUGAGGUUAAAAUGGUUGAGGUACAUCUGUAUGCUGAAGUUGAUAUUGUUAUUAAACCUUUCUUCGCUAAGGUUGAUAUUGUUGAAAUAUUAUAAGAUUUUCAUUGCCGUUGUACUUUUGUUCCCUUAUGCAUAUGCAUAUGUACGCUCAGGUUUUAAUUUUCGGUAUGCAAUUGUAUACUGAGGAUGAAACUCUUGAGGUACAUCUGUACGCUGAGGUUCAAAUUAUUGAUAUACUGAUAUAUUGUUGAUAUACCUUUGUACGAUGAGGUUUAACUUGUUGAUAAACUUCUCUACGCUGGGAAUCCAAUUGUUGACGUUCAUAUGUACGCCGAUGUUGAAAAUUCUUGAUAAACUUGCAUAUUGUUGAUUUUGUUAAUAUGCCUUUGUACGAUGAGGUUUAACUUAGUGAUAAACCUUUUUACAUUGGGUAUAAAUCGUUGAUGUACAAAAAAAGGUUGAGAUACAUCUGCUUGCUGAGGUUGUAAUCUUCGGAUUAUUGACAUAUUGUUGAUCUUGAUGAUAUAUUUAUGUACGAUGUGAUUUAUCUUGUUUCUAAACCUUACUACGUUGGGGUUUAAAUUGUUACUAUACAUCUGUACGCUGAGGUUGAAAUUGUUGAUAGUGGCAUAUUGUUGAUUUUGUUAAUAUACCUUUGUACGAUUAGGUUUAACUUCUUGAUAAACCUUUAUACGUUAGGUAUAAAUUGUUGAUGUACAUUUCUACCCUGAGGUUAAAAUGGUUGAGGUACAUCUGUACGCUGAGGUUGAAAUUGUUGUUUAACAGGCAAAUUGAUGAUUUUGUUAAUAUACCUUUGUACGAUGGGGUUUAACUUAUCGAUAAAACUUUGUACGAUGAGGUUUAAUUGCUGAUAAACCUUUGUACGAUGUGGUUUAACUUGUUGAUAAACCUUUCCAAGCUAGGGUUUCAAUUGUAUAUAUUGUUGUUAUUGUUGAUAUAUCUUUUUACACUAAGUUUUAAAUUGUUGAUAAACUGAUAUAGUGUUGAUAUUGAUGUUUUAUCUUUUUACGCUAAGCUUUAAAUUGAUGAUAUACCUUUGUACGCUGAGGUUAAAAUUAAUAAUACACCUUUGUACGCUGAGGUGUAUUUGUUGUUAGAACCUAUGAACGUUAAGAUUUAAAAUGUUGUAUAUACAGCGCAAAGCGCUUUUGUAUGUCAAACUUGUUUUUCGCUUUCGAGCUAGCAGAACUGUAUAUAAUGAGCUUGCAUUUUUUUGCUUUUGAUAAGUGUUAAGCGUUAUCUCAAAUAAGUACUAAAAUAAUUCAAAAUAAUGACACAAGGUACAUUAAAUAGUUUGCACAUUGUCUCUUUAAAUGUCCAAUGAUUAAGAGAUAUAAAUAAACGCCAUAGAUUUAUUGAAUGGCUCAAUAAUCAACGAGCCAACAUAGUAUUGUUCUAAGAGAAUCAUUUUAUUGAAAAUACCAUUUAUCCCAUUGACAACGAGGUAAAUAGUUGGAAUACUUGGCAUAGCUUUUGAAAUCAUUUAAGCAGAGGUUGUUUAAAUCUUAUUAAUAAGAAACUUAUACAUAUAAGUAUAUAUUAGUUUUGUGAUAGGGAUGAGCGAUACAUUACACUGAACAUGGAAAUAAACAAAAAUAUAUAUACACUUCACUUAAUAUAUAUGAACCAAAAAACACUGUAGCUCAUUCUAUAAUAAAAUACUAAAUAUGAUAACCGGCCUAAGAGGCCUAGGAAUAAAGUUGAUUGGUGUCCGGUAAAAAAAGCUUUAAAAAACUGCAUUUUUCUUUUUUCGUGGUAACAAUUAAAGUAAGGGAUGCUUUUAAGAAAGCAUGGAGGAAUGGCCUUUUAUGUUUGACAUUCUUGCUAAGUUUGGUUUCAAAAAUACUUUUUUGCAACGGGUGAAAACAUUAUACAUAAUAUUUCUUUUAGGAGUUCUAAUAAUGAUUGGAUAUUUGAUGGCUUAAACAUUUUGCGAGGAUAUUAUCAAGGAUGUCUGUAUCCCCUGUUUGCUCUAUUAUUUAUAACACUUGUAGAAGUCCUUGCACUUAAAAGAAGAACAUGUAAAGCGAUCGAAUGAGUAAAUGUGAAAAACACCCAUUUAAAAUCAAACAACUUGCAGACGAUACAACCCCUUUUUGAUAAUUCACACUGAAAUCCAUGCAGCUCUGGAGAUAUUUGAUACAUUCGGUAACUUUUCCGGUCUGAAGAUUAACAUACUUAAACACUGAGUCUAUGGAUAUAACUAUUUCAAAAGACAAUGACAUAAAUCAAGUGUAUUAUAUAAAGUGAAUGCAUUAAUUAACCUGGGAGCAAAGAAAUUAACAAUGUCAAAAGCUUAACAAUUAGAGAAAAGAAACUUAACAUUUUUUGGCAAAAUCACUAUGAUAAAAGCAUUAAUGCUGCCAAACUAACAUAUCUGGCGCAAACUAUUUAUCUCCCAAUCAUGUUACAAAACCGGUUAACUCUUUAAUUUAACAUUCCAUUUUGAAUGACAAAAGAGAUAGCAUUAGGCGAACAACUAUAAACGGAAAUAAACUCGAAGGUUGUCUGGAAGUUCCCUACUUUAACUACUAUUCCGAAUGUAUGAAAAUUAAAUAAGAUGCAGUUAUAUGUAGCUCAAACAUAUGCAAUGUUUUACAAUGAUAUGUCCUGUUUUGUCUUCUAUUUUUCAUGUAUAUACUUAGUUUGUGAUUUCCGAAAAUAAACGGAUCGCCAUUAAGUGAUUCCAAAACGAAAAAAAGGUUUUAAUUGUUGAUAAACCUUUACACGCUGUAUUUUUUGGGUUUAGUUGUUGGUUGGGUUGAAAGGUUAAAACUAGAAGAAA
Mya arenaria is the source of this 4448-nucleotide long non-coding RNA. RefSeq lists it as uncharacterized. The transcript is spliced from 3 exons. The record is from RefSeq and is a predicted model, not a curated record. NCBI's taxonomy places the organism in Eukaryota, Metazoa, Mollusca, Bivalvia, Myida, Myidae.